GUGCUUGCUUUGGCAGCACAUACACUAAAAUUGGAACGAUACAGAGAAGAUUAGCAUGGCCCUGUGCAAGGAUGACAUGCAAAUCCAUGAAGCAUGCCAUAUUUUU
This 106-nucleotide small nuclear RNA is filed under the name Dasypus novemcinctus (nine-banded armadillo). Lineage: Eukaryota; Metazoa; Chordata; Mammalia; Cingulata; Dasypodidae. The record is from RNAcentral.